Molecule: non-coding RNA, 393 nt
Organism: Phascolarctos cinereus (koala)
Lineage: Eukaryota; Metazoa; Chordata; Mammalia; Diprotodontia; Phascolarctidae
Source: RefSeq, a predicted model, not a curated record
UUGGAGGACAUAUAGAACCUUGGAAGGCAAGAGGAAGACUGACAAAGAACAAAGUCUCCAUUAUUGGAAGCUGGAGACCAGGCAGUUGAAGAUGGGAGACUGGAGGUAUGAGAAGAAUGAUCUGAAUAGAACUGGUAACUGAAUGCAUGAGAACUGAAGAGAUCACCAAGAGAAAUAAUAUAGAGGGAGAAAAGAAGAGGGACCAGAACAGGACCUUGGGGGACACUGACAGUGGGAAGAGCCUGGAUGAAGAUCUAGUAAAGAAAACUGAGGAGUGGUCAGACUGUUGAAUGUCUAUAGGAGACAAAACAGAUGAAGCUAUAACUUUGUGAUCUUCACAAUGUCCGAAGAGUCAUCAGAAAUGAGAGUCCAUAGCUGAGUAGUUGUAGCAGC